RNAcentral lists this ribosomal RNA (482 nucleotides) under uncultured bacterium. RNAcentral's name for it is "partial 16S ribosomal RNA". It matches the Rfam family "Bacterial small subunit ribosomal RNA", at positions 30 to 507 of the family's 1533-position model. The record is from RNAcentral.
AUUGAACGCUGGCGGCAUGCCUUACACAUGCAAGUCGAACGGUAACGGGCCUUCGGGUGCUGACGAGUGGCGAACGGGUGAGUAAUACAUCGGAACGUGCCCGAUCGUGGGGGAUAACGAGGCGAAAGCUUUGCUAAUACCGCAUACGAUCUACGGAUGAAAGCAGGGGACCACAAGGCCUUGCGCGGACGGAGCGGCCGAUGGCAGAUUAGGUAGUUGGUGGGAUAAAAGCUUACCAAGCCGACGAUCUGUAGCUGGUCUGAGAGGAUGAUCAGCCACACUGGGACUGAGACACGGCCCAGACUCCUACGGGAGGCAGCAGUGGGGAAUUUUGGACAAUGGGCGCAAGCCUGAUCCAGCCAUGCCGCGUGCAGGAUGAAGGCCUUCGGGUUGUAAACUGCUUUUGUACGGAACGAAAAGCCUUCUUUUAAUACAGGAGGGUCAUGACGGUACCGUAAGAAUAAGCACCGGCUAACUACGUG